This 842-nucleotide ribosomal RNA is filed under the name uncultured bacterium. RNAcentral's name for it is "bacterial SSU rRNA". It matches the Rfam family "Bacterial small subunit ribosomal RNA", at positions 58 to 916 of the family's 1533-position model. The record is from RNAcentral.
CAAGUCGACGGUAAGGCCCUUCGGGGUACACGAGUGGCGAACGGGUGAGUAACACGUGGGUGAUCUGCCCUGCACUUCGGGAUAAGCCUGGGAAACUGGGUCUAAUACCGGAUAGGACCUCGGGAUGCAUGUCCUGUGGUGGAAAGCUUUUGCGGUGUGGGAUGGGCCCGCGGCCUAUCAGCUUGUUGGUGGGGUGAUGGCCUACCAAGGCGACGACGGGUAGCCGGCCUGAGAGGGUGACCGGCCACACUGGGACUGAGAUACGGCCCAGACUCCUACGGGAGGCAGCAGUGGGGAAUAUUGCACAAUGGGCGCAAGCCUGAUGCAGCGACGCCGCGUGAGGGAUGACGGCCUUCGGGUUGUAAACCUCUUUCAGCACCGACGAAGCGCAAGUGACGGUAGGUGCAGAAGAAGGACCGGCCAACUACGUGCCAGCAGCCGCGGUAAUACGUAGGGUCCGAGCGUUGUCCGGAAUUACUGGGCGUAAAGAGCUCGUAGGUGGUUUGUCGCGUUGUCCGUGAAAUCCCACGGCUUAACUGUGGGCGUGCGGGCGAUACGGGCAGACUGGAGUACUGCAGGGGAGACUGGAAUUCCUGGUGUAGCGGUGGAAUGCGCAGAUAUCAGGAGGAACACCGGUGGCGAAGGCGGGUCUCUGGGCAGUAACUGACGCUGAGGAGCGAAAGCGUGGGGGGCGAACAGGAUUAGAUACCCUGGUAGUCCACGCCGUAAACGGUGGGUACUAGGUGUGGGUUUCCUUCCUUGGGAUCCGUGCCGUAGCUAACGCAUUAAGUACCCCGCCUGGGGAGUACGGCCGCAAGGCUAAAACUCAAAGGAAUUGACGG